AACGUAUCCGUCACCCCGGCUUGACUUCCGGCCAGAACGCAUCCCACAGUAAAGCCACCUUAACGCAUUAUGAUCCCUGAUCUGUGACUGAAAGCAGGAUCUCGGCCAGCCCUGGCGAGUGCUGAAGCUCUCCCCAUAAUGGUGACAGAGACAUGGUACCCUUGGAGACGGCCGGUCCACAUCCCGUGGUCAGAACCCUGCCACCUUUCAUGGGGUCAAAGCAUCCUGCUCUGCAGCCUGGACACACCAUCUCUGCUGAGUACCAUACCUAACUACCUGGGCAAGGCUGCAACCCCAGGAAUUUACCAGGCAUUCAUUAUCGUCUCUUUUCCCCUCGUUCUGUUUAAAUGACGGCUGUUCAAAUGUGACAAAUCCUGAAGGAGGUAGGAAGGAUACAGACCAGAUACCGUGUUUUAUUUAUUUAUUUUCUCUCUCUUAUCUUUAAAGUUUUCUUACUUCUGUUUGUCAAACUCCUAGUGACCCGUCUGUGAUGCUAAUGAAAGCUGACAGCGCACAAAAGACUUUUUCGGUGGCGCUGUGCUCUGCGAGUCCACCAAUCACCUCUGUGGACCUUGUGAAUAUAGCCGGUCUGCUCCCCCCGAGCCAGGCCAAGGCUCCUCUGCGUCCUGGAGGUGACUUGGUUAGAUCACAGGUCUUGUUCUGUGUUUCUGGUUGUCCUCAGUGAAUGAAAGGAUGGCAAGACAACUGGAAAAACUGGAUAUUUUUCAUUUUCCAGUGCUUGUUUUUCAUGUGUUAAUAAGGUAAGCUCUAAAAUUGUAAAUUAUGAACGUUUCUCUGUACUAAUAUCUUCCUGUUUUAAAUUAGCAAUUGAUGUGAUUUUCUUAAAUGAUUGUCCAUGGGUGAAUAAAAUUCCUUGUUGAGAGGUAAGUUAAAAGUGACACUCUGAUCUUCCUAGUCCUCAACCCCCCCCCCCCCCCUUAAGUUGAUAGCUGAGAAUUGACCCCCAAAGUUAGGUUGCAAACUGAAGAACCUUCCCAGCACAUUCCCAUAGCCAUAAUUGAUGGAUAUUUUCCCAGACUUCAACUAGUGCUGGGGUCUCCAACUUGUCAACAGGCUGCGCCAGAACGUCAGCUAACAUCAACUG
Paramormyrops kingsleyae is the source of this 1105-nucleotide non-coding RNA. The record is from RefSeq and is a predicted model, not a curated record. NCBI's taxonomy places the organism in Eukaryota, Metazoa, Chordata, Actinopteri, Osteoglossiformes, Mormyridae.